RNAcentral lists this ribosomal RNA (124 nucleotides) under Fukomys damarensis (Damara mole-rat). The record is from RNAcentral. Lineage: Eukaryota; Metazoa; Chordata; Mammalia; Rodentia; Bathyergidae.
UUUUUUCCCCAUUCCCCUGCCCUUGAACACACCCAACCUCAUCUGAUCUCGGAAGCUAAGCUGGAUCUGGUCUGGUUAGUACUUGGAUGGAUCAACAUUUCAAAGUAGAAUGUCGAACAGAAAC